GAUGAACGCUGGCGGCGUGCCUAAUACAUGCAAGUCGAGCGAACGGAUGAGAAGCUUGCUUUUCUGAUGUUAGCGGCGGACGGGUGAGUAACACGUGGAUAACCUACCUAUAAGACUGGGAUAACUUCGGGAAACCGGAGCUAAUACCGGAUAAUAUUUUGAACCGCAUGGUUCAAUAGUGAAAGACGGUCUUGCUGUCACUUAUAGAUGGAUCCGCGCUGCAUUAGCUAGUUGGUAAGGUAACGGCUUACCAAGGCAACGAUGCAUAGCCGACCUGAGAGGGUGAUCGGCCACACUGGAACUGAGACACGGUCCAGACUCCUACGGGAGGCAGCAGUAGGGAAUCUUCCGCAAUGGGCGAAAGCCUGACGGAGCAACGCCGCGUGAGUGAUGAAGGUCUUCGGAUCGUAAAACUCUGUUAUUAGGGAAGAACAUAUGUGUAAGUAACUGUGCACGUCUUGACGGUACCUAAUCAGAAAGCCACGGCUAACUACGUG
Molecule: ribosomal RNA, 497 nt
Filed under: uncultured bacterium
Lineage: Bacteria
Description: partial 16S ribosomal RNA
Rfam family: Bacterial small subunit ribosomal RNA
Source: RNAcentral